RNAcentral lists this ribosomal RNA (452 nucleotides) under uncultured Dysgonomonas sp. RNAcentral describes it as "partial 16S ribosomal RNA". It matches the Rfam family "Bacterial small subunit ribosomal RNA", at positions 341 to 792 of the family's 1533-position model. The record is from RNAcentral. Lineage: Bacteria; Pseudomonadati; Bacteroidota; Bacteroidia; Bacteroidales; Dysgonomonadaceae.
ACGGGAGGCAGCAGUGAGGAAUAUUGGUCAAUGGGCGGGAGCCUGAACCAGCCAAGUAGCGUGAGGGAAGACUGCCCUAUGGGUUGUAAACCUCUUUUGUUUGGGAAUAAAGGAGACUACGUGUAGUCUUUUGCAUGUACCUUACGAAUAAGCAUCGGCUAAUUCCGUGCCAGCAGCCGCGGUAAUACGGAAGAUGCGAGCGUUAUCCGGAUUUAUUGGGUUUAAAGGGUGCGCAGGCGGCUUUUUAAGUCAGUGGUUAAAUCGUGACGCUCAACGUCAUCACGCCAUUGAUACUGGAGAGCUUGAUUGCGGUCGAGGUUUGCGGAAUUCGUUGUGUAGCGGUGAAAUGCAUAGAUAUGACGAAGAACACCGAUUGCGUAGGCAGCAGACCAGGCCGUAAAUGACGCUCAUGCACGAAAGUGCGGGGAUCGAACAGGAUUAGAUACCUGGUA